UACGGGGGGGAGCAAGCGUUGUUCGGAUUUACUGGGCGUAAAGGGCGCGUAGGCGGUCGUGACAAGUCACUUGUGAAAUCUCCGGGCUUAACUCGGAACGGUCAAGUGAUACUGUCGGACUAGAGUACAGAAGGGGGCAACUGGAAUUCUCGGUGUAGCGGUGAAAUGCGUAGAUAUCGAGAGGAACACCGGUGGCGAAGGCGGGUCUCUGGGCCGAUACUGACGCUGAGGAGCGAAAGCAUGGGGAGCGAACAGG
RNAcentral lists this ribosomal RNA (256 nucleotides) under uncultured bacterium. Its description in RNAcentral is "partial 16S ribosomal RNA". It matches the Rfam family "Bacterial small subunit ribosomal RNA", at positions 524 to 776 of the family's 1533-position model. The record is from RNAcentral.